CUGAAAAUUUUCAUUUUCCCUCUUUUUCAAAGCCCCUCAUCUUCAUCUUCUUUGAUUCUCUCUUCUCUUCGCCCCUGCAUAACCUCGACGCAUACAACAGCAACAAUCUCAUCUGCGUGAUCGUUUCUGAGGACAUUGGUUCCGGCGUCUCUCUUGCUAUCUCAACUCUCUCCCACAUCUCCUUCCAGUGUGUCUAUCUCUUGAUUUCUUCUUCUUCCAACAUUUGCGUUUCUUCCAUGAUUGCCCCAACUUUCCAUAAGUACCAUCACCCAUAUCGAUGGACGCUUAUACGACUUAUUGUUAGGGCUUUUGUUAAGUUUUUAGCAUCCACGACCAUUAGACUUCGAAUAUUUUUGCCUUCAGAUUCAAGAGUUGGAAGGUUAUUAGCACGUUCUCCAGCAAGCGUUUGAACAUUUUAGCAUACUUAGUAUGUCCCACAACCUACAUGGAAUUAAGCCUUUAAUUAGAGAAAAGGAUUUUUCUUUGGGCAUUGAUGAGAAUGGCCUUUCGAUCGUAUGUUAUAUUCAGUGAAUGAAGUGAUAAUUAGCUACGAGGAAGGCAAGUAGAAAAGGGAAAUAAUAAUGGGCAACUACCAUUGCUGAAGCUUGUUGAAGGAUUUAUUGUUGUUAAAACCAAAAUGGGAAUGAUAAAGUGGAAGAAACAAAUGUCGAGAGGGAUAGAUGAAAGUAGAGUGUGUGGCUAGUGGGCUACAGAAAGUUGAAACGGAAACUGCAUUGUCUGACUGCUUAAUUCCAAAACAGACGCUACAGGCACCCACGCUAAAAACAACACUAUCCCCUCGAUUUGGUGCAACAAAUCUGUUCCCUUGAAUAGUCUGGCAUCUAUGAAGCUUUUAUUUUUAUUUGUUACAUCAUAAGUUUGCACUUUAAAGUUCAAUUUUAAAAAAAGUAACUCAAGUUUAGUUCAAGGAUGGAAAUAGAUGUCUCAAAACCAACCAUCUUAUUUGCUUUUAUCUCAAGUGCAGUGGUGUUGCUGUGAUCAUCGAAAAGGUGCCCGGAUAUGAAGAGUAUGCUCAAUCUAGAGUACCAAGAGAAUAGUGGGGAAGAUCGUGAGAAGGUCUGUAAUAAGAUUCGGAGAAGAUUGCAACUAAAGAACAAGCUUUGAAGAAGUUCUGCAAGAGAGCAAGGACCAUUUUUCCAGUGUCAAAAGAAUUUGCAAAAGACUCGAAAAAUCACAUUCUGGAAAACAAUAAAGGCAAGUAUAAGAGCAUUAAAAAAAAUUAAUCGAAUGAUGUUUAUUUAGUACAUCUGUAUGAUAUGUUUUAGUUAUGUUAUGAAGUAUAUGCAAGAAAUCGUGACCAAAGAGAAGAAUAUUAUCACAGAUGUGAUUGAUACGAGGAGUUCGUACUCGCAACUUGAAUUGGAUGAAGUACGCGUGGAAUGGGCUGAAUAUUUAGGUCGUUAUAUCUGAUGGACUUCCUAUAAAUUUUGUAUAUGUGGCUACAUGAGAAUGCCGAAAACCCUUUUUAUAAAAAUGUUUUGUUAAGUUAUUAUAGGUUAUAUACUUCAAAGAAAUGUGUGAUGGAUGAUAGAAUUUUAGUCUUGUGAUUUUUGAAAUAUAUAGUACAUAUAGUUUGGUCUUGUAA
This is a non-coding RNA of Benincasa hispida (wax gourd), 1606 nucleotides long. The record is from RefSeq and is a predicted model, not a curated record. Lineage: Eukaryota; Viridiplantae; Streptophyta; Magnoliopsida; Cucurbitales; Cucurbitaceae.